GUGAACGCUGGCGGUAGGCCUAACCCAUGCAAGUCGAACGGCAGCACAGUAAGAGCUUGCUCUUACGGGUGGCGAGUGGCGGACGGGUGAGGAAUACAUCGGAAUCUACUUUUUCGUGGGGGAUAACGUAGGGAAACUUACGCUAAUACCGCAUACGACCUACGGGUGAAAGCAAGGGAUCUUCGGACCUUGCGCGAUUGAAUGAGCCGAUGUCGGAUUAGCUAGUUGGCGGGGUAAAGGCCCACCAAGGCGACGAUCCGUAGCUGGUCUGAGAGGAUGAUCAGCCACACUGGAACUGAGACACGGUCCAGACUCCUACGGGAGGCAGCAGUGGGGAAUAUUGGACAAUGGGCGCAAGCCUGAUCCAGCCAUACCGCGUGGGUGAAGAAGGCCUUCGGGUUGUAAAGCCCUUUUGUUGGGAAAGAAAAGCAGCAGGUUAAUACCCCGCUGUUCUGACGGUACCCAAAGAAUAAGCACCGGCUAACUUCGUG
RNAcentral lists this ribosomal RNA (491 nucleotides) under uncultured bacterium. RNAcentral describes it as "partial 16S ribosomal RNA". It matches the Rfam family "Bacterial small subunit ribosomal RNA", at positions 29 to 507 of the family's 1533-position model. The record is from RNAcentral.